UACGGAGGGUGCGAGCGUUGUCCGGAAUCACUGGGCGUAAAGGGUGCGUAGGCGGUUCUUUAAGUCAGGGGUGAAAUCCUGGAGCUCAACUCCAGAACUGCCUUUGAUACUGAAGAUCUUGAGUUCGGGAGAGGUGAGUGGAACUGCGAGUGUAGAGGUGAAAUUCGUAGAUAUUCGCAAGAACACCAGUGGCGAAGGCGGCUCACUGGCCCGAUACUGACGCUGAUGCACGAAAGCGUGGGGAGCAAACAGG
Molecule: ribosomal RNA, 253 nt
Filed under: uncultured bacterium
Lineage: Bacteria
Description: partial 16S ribosomal RNA
Rfam family: Bacterial small subunit ribosomal RNA
Source: RNAcentral